This 3006-nucleotide ribosomal RNA is filed under the name Salmonella enterica subsp. enterica serovar Weltevreden. RNAcentral's name for it is "bacterial LSU rRNA". It matches the Rfam family "Bacterial large subunit ribosomal RNA". The record is from RNAcentral. Lineage: Bacteria; Pseudomonadati; Pseudomonadota; Gammaproteobacteria; Enterobacterales; Enterobacteriaceae.
UUAAGCGACUAAGCGUACACGGUGGAUGCCCUGGCAGUCAGAGGCGAUGAAGGGCGUGCUAAUCUGCGAUAAGCGCCGGUAAGGUGAUAUGAACCGUUAUAACCGGCGAUACCCGAAUGGGGAAACCCAGUGUGACUCGUCACACUAUCAUUAACUGAAUCCAUAGGUUAAUGAGGCGAACCGGGGGAACUGAAACAUCUAAGUACCCCGAGGAAAAGAAAUCAACCGAGAUUCCCCCAGUAGCGGCGAGCGAACGGGGAGGAGCCCAGAGCCUGAAUCAGCAUGUGUGUUAGUGGAAGCGUCUGGAAAGGCGCGCGAUACAGGGUGACAGCCCCGUACACAAAAGCGCAUGUGCUGUGAGCUCGAUGAGUAGGGCGGGACACGUGGUAUCCUGUCUGAAUAUGGGGGGACCAUCCUCCAAGGCUAAAUACUCCUGACUGACCGAUAGUGAACCAGUACCGUGAGGGAAAGGCGAAAAGAACCCCGGCGAGGGGAGUGAAAAAGAACCUGAAACCGUGUACGUACAAGCAGUGGGAGCCCCACCACCAAAGCAUUCUCUGGUGUUGAAGGCCCUGCAAAGCAGCAUCGCGGUGGCGGAGCGUCGUUUGCGACGCCCAACACACAAAACAAGCGGUGAGUGCUUUGGGGUGGGGUGACUGCGUACCUUUUGUAUAAUGGGUCAGCGACUUAUAUUCUGUAGCAAGGUUAACCGUAUAGGGGAGCCGGAGGGAAACCGAGUCUUAACCGGGCGUUAAGUUGCAGGGUAUAGACCCGAAACCCGGUGAUCUAGCCAUGGGCAGGUUGAAGGUUGGGUAACACUAACUGGAGGACCGAACCGACUAAUGUUGAAAAAUUAGCGGAUGACCUGUGGCUGGGGGUGAAAGGCCAAUCAAACCGGGAGAUAGCUGGUUCUCCCCGAAAGCUAUUUAGGUAGCGCCUCGUGAAUUCAUCUCCGGGGGUAGAGCACUGUUUCGGCUAGGGGGCCAUCCCGGCUUACCAACCCGAUGCAAACUGCGAAUACCGGAGAAUGUUAUCACGGGAGACACACGGCGGGUGCUAACGUCCGUCGUGAAGAGGGAAACAACCCAGACCGCCAGCUAAGGUCCCAAAGUCAUGGUUAAGUGGGAAACGAUGUGGGAAGGCCCAGACAGCCAGGAUGUUGGCUUAGAAGCAGCCAUCAUUUAAAGAAAGCGUAAUAGCUCACUGGUCGAGUCGGCCUGCGCGGAAGAUGUAACGGGGCUAAACCAUGCACCGAAGCUGCGGCAGCGACGCUUAUGCGUUGUUGGGUAGGGGAGCGUUCUGUAAGCCUGUGAAGGUGGCCUGUGAGGGUUGCUGGAGGUAUCAGAAGUGCGAAUGCUGACAUAAGUAACGAUAAAGCGGGUGAAAAGCCCGCUCGCCGGAAGACCAAGGGUUCCUGUCCAACGUUAAUCGGGGCAGGGUGAGUCGACCCCUAAGGCGAGGCCGAAAGGCGUAGUCGAUGGGAAACGGGUUAAUAUUCCCGUACUUGGUGUUACUGCGAAGGGGGGACGGAGAAGGCUAUGUUGGCCGGGCGACGGUUGUCCCGGUUUAAGCGUGUAGGUGUGUGUUCCAGGUAAAUCCGGUUCACUUUAACACUGAGGCGUGAUGACGAGGCACUACGGUGCUGAAGCAACAAAUGCCCUGCUUCCAGGAAAAGCCUCUAAGCAUCAGGUAACAUCAAAUCGUACCCCAAACCGACACAGGUGGUCAGGUAGAGAAUACCAAGGCGCUUGAGAGAACUCGGGUGAAGGAACUAGGCAAAAUGGUGCCGUAACUUCGGGAGAAGGCACGCUGACACGUAGGUGAAGUGAUUUACUCAUGGAGCUGAAGUCAGUCGAAGAUACCAGCUGGCUGCAACUGUUUAUUAAAAACACAGCACUGUGCAAACACGAAAGUGGACGUAUACGGUGUGACGCCUGCCCGGUGCCGGAAGGUUAAUUGAUGGGGUCAGCGCAAGCGAAGCUCCUGAUCGAAGCCCCGGUAAACGGCGGCCGUAACUAUAACGGUCCUAAGGUAGCGAAAUUCCUUGUCGGGUAAGUUCCGACCUGCACGAAUGGCGUAAUGAUGGCCAGGCUGUCUCCACCCGAGACUCAGUGAAAUUGAACUCGCUGUGAAGAUGCAGUGUACCCGCGGCAAGACGGAAAGACCCCGUGAACCUUUACUAUAGCUUGACACUGAACAUUGAGCCUUGAUGUGUAGGAUAGGUGGGAGGCUUUGAAGUGUGGACGCCAGUCUGCAUGGAGCCGACCUUGAAAUACCACCCUUUAAUGUUUGAUGUUCUAACGUGGACCCGUAAUCCGGGUUGCGGACAGUGUCUGGUGGGUAGUUUGACUGGGGCGGUCUCCUCCUAAAGAGUAACGGAGGAGCACGAAGGUUGGCUAAUCCUGGUCGGACAUCAGGAGGUUAGUGCAAUGGCAUAAGCCAGCUUGACUGCGAGCGUGACGGCGCGAGCAGGUGCGAAAGCAGGUCAUAGUGAUCCGGUGGUUCUGAAUGGAAGGGCCAUCGCUCAACGGAUAAAAGGUACUCCGGGGAUAACAGGCUGAUACCGCCCAAGAGUUCAUAUCGACGGCGGUGUUUGGCACCUCGAUGUCGGCUCAUCACAUCCUGGGGCUGAAGUAGGUCCCAAGGGUAUGGCUGUUCGCCAUUUAAAGUGGUACGCGAGCUGGGUUUAGAACGUCGUGAGACAGUUCGGUCCCUAUCUGCCGUGGGCGCUGGAGAACUGAGGGGGGCUGCUCCUAGUACGAGAGGACCGGAGUGGACGCAUCACUGGUGUUCGGGUUGUCAUGCCAAUGGCACUGCCCGGUAGCUAAAUGCGGAAGAGAUAAGUGCUGAAAGCAUCUAAGCACGAAACUUGCCCCGAGAUGAGUUCUCCCUGAGACUUAGAGUCUCCUGAAGGAACGUUGAAGACGACGACGUUGAUAGGCCGGGUGUGUAAGCGCAGCGAUGCGUUGAGCUAACCGGUACUAAUGAACCGUGAGGCUUAACCUU